This 85-nucleotide transfer RNA is filed under the name Felis catus (domestic cat). It matches the Rfam family "tRNA". Rfam says of the family: Transfer RNA (tRNA) molecules are approximately 80 nucleotides in length. RNAcentral also lists the same sequence under 2 other names. The record is from Rfam by way of RNAcentral. Lineage: Eukaryota; Metazoa; Chordata; Mammalia; Carnivora; Felidae.
GCCCGGGUUGCUCAGUCAGUUGAGCGUCCGACUUCAGCUCAGGUCAUGAUCUCACAGUUCGUGGGUUCAAGCCCCACAUUGGGCU